GAUGAACGCUGGCGGCGUGCCUAAUACAUGCAAGUCGAGCGAACAGACGAGGAGCUUGCUCCUCUGACGUUAGCGGCGGACGGGUGAGUAACACGUGGAUAACCUACCUAUAAGACUGGGAUAACUUCGGGAAACCGGAGCUAAUACCGGAUAAUAUAUUGAACCGCAUGGUUCAAUAGUGAAAGACGGUUUUGCUGUCACUUAUAGAUGGAUCCGCGCCGCAUUAGCUAGUUGGUAAGGUAACGGCUUACCAAGGCGACGAUGCGUAGCCGACCUGAGAGGGUGAGCGGCAGGAUGGGAACUGAGAGACGGUGCAGAGUCGGAGGGGAGGCAGCAGGAGGGAUGAUGGAGGAAUGGGGGAAAGAAGGAUGGAGCUAAGCAGAGUGAGUGAUGAAUGUUUACGGAUCGAAAAACUAGGUGAGUAGGGCAGAAAAUAUGUGUAAGGCACUGUGCAGACCGGGAGGGGGGUGAAGAAGAAAGAGAGGGAUAGCUAGGGG
RNAcentral lists this ribosomal RNA (497 nucleotides) under uncultured bacterium. Its description in RNAcentral is "partial 16S ribosomal RNA". The stretch from base 20 to 341 matches the Rfam family "Bacterial small subunit ribosomal RNA", at positions 47 to 358 of the family's 1533-position model. The record is from RNAcentral.